AUGAUUUGACGAAAGCAAAGUUUGAAGGACACAAUUGUUUUUUCAAUUAAAAAUCAUUAUUUAUAACCUUGUCAACGUCUUAACUAUUUCAUAUUCAUUUUGCAACUGAUUUCAUGCAUGUUUUCAUGGAAAACAAGGACAUUUCUAAGUGACCCCAAACUUUUGAACGGUAGUGUACCUUUAGCCCUGUUUAUACCAUCGGAACAAGGUGUCAUAAUACUCCACCUAAAAAUACAACAUGAGACCCAUGAAUACAAUACACGGGACCAGACCUGUAAUAACAAGUGCACAACAAUACACUGGACGAGACCCGUAAUAAUGAGUACUCAAUACACGGAGCACGAAAGCCGAGACAACAAAGCACAGGUACUCACAAGACCAACAGACAUGGGAGCAAUAACCGACCAAGGCAAUGGUGAACAGAGGGCACAUAUAUACACAUACUAAUCAGGGGGACAGGGAACCAGGCGUGCAUAAUGAGACAGUUCAGUGACGCCUAGAGACUGGUGACGUAGACCUCCGGAACUGGCACACGGAAUGAGCAGCAGUACCAGGGGAUCCGUGACAAAGACACAAUGUAUCAAAUGAAUUGAUAGGGAAAGUCUAAAGGGGAGCGAGAGACAGGCAUGUGAUAGUGAUGAUGAUGACAUCAUCAAAAAUGAUAUGCUGCCUGUAAUAUAGCCUAAAUGAUGAUCCCUGGUUAAUCCAUUCUAAUAAAGGGGGUGGUUAAAGACAUUCCAGUCAAAUGGGUAAAGAUAAGUGUCACAGUGUUGAAGUGUCAAUUCAUCGACGCUCAUCUUUUCCCAUUGACUGCGCGUAUGUUGACAUAAGCAUCAACUCUGUUACAAUUUUAUUUUCCCAUUCGUACCACAAAGCCGACUGGGAGCAUGACCAAUUGACAUAAGCGUCAAUUGGUUAAUGCCUAACUUUUUGAAAAAUUGUGAAAAGAAUGACGUUUUCCCAUUAUAUGUUUUUGGAUCAUAACAUUUCCUUGAUUAAUUGAGUGACAAUAUAUCAAUGUAUUAGAAACAUGUCAGGCAUAAGGUCAAUGGAAAAGGGAAAACGAUUAACGUGAAAAAAGGAAAGUGCACUCCAAUGACAUGUAAUGUACACUUCAGUUUUAUACAAACCUUCAGUAAAAAUACAUUGCAGUUCUGAAAUCAUUAUUGGUUCUCGCAAUGAAGGGAAAUGAUCAACUCAAGCUCCAAAUGAAACACCAUCCCUUGCCGUAACUGCAGCAACAUAAUUAUGGCUGCCCAUUUUAAUUACGCUUUAAUUACGGAGUGUGGGGCCGUCUGUGGUACGGUCUGUAGAUUAUGGCAUGUUUCUGCUUUAAUUACAGAGUGUGGGGCCGUCUGUAGAUUAUGGCAUGUUUCUGCUUUAAUUACAGAGUGUGGGGCCGUCUGUGGUACGGUCUGUAGAUUAUGGCAUGUUUCUGCUUUAAUUACGGAGUGUGGGGCCGUCUGUAGAUUAUGGCAUGUUUCUGCUUUAAUUACGGAGUGUGGGGCCGUCUGUGGUACGGUCUGUAGAUUAUGGCAUGUUUCUGCUUUAAUUACGGAGUGUGGGGCCGUCUGUAGAUUAUGGCAUGUUUCUGCUUUAAUUACAGAGUGUGGGGCCGUCUGUAGAUUAUGGCAUGUUUCUGCUUUAAUUACAGAGUGUGGGGCCGUCUGUGGUACGGUCUGUAGAUUAUGGCAUGUUUCUGCUUUAAUUACAGAGUGUGGGGCCGUCUGUGGUACGGUCUGUAGAUUAUGGCAUGUUUCUGCUUUAAUUACGGAGUGUGGGGCCGUCUGUAGAUUAUGGCAUGUUUCUGCUUUAAUUACGGAGUGUGGGGCCGUCUGUGGUACGGUCUGUAGAUUAUGGCAUGUUUCUGCUUUAAUUACAGAGUGUGGGGCCGUCUGUGGUACGGUCUGUAGAUUAUGGCAUGUUUCUGCUUUAAUUACGGAGUGUGGGGCCGUCUGUGGUACGGUCUGUAGAUUAUGGCAUGUUUCUGCUUUAAUUACGGAGUGUGGGGCCGUCUGUAGAUUAUGGCAUGUUUCUGCUUUAAUUACGGAGUGUGGGGCCGUCUGUAGAUUAUGGCAUGUUUCUGCUUUAAUUACAGAGUGUGGGGCCGUCUGUAGAUUAUGGCAUGUUUCUGCUUUAAUUACAGAGUGUGGGGCCGUCUGUGGUACGGUCUGUAGAUUAUGGCAUGUUUCUGCUUUAAUUACGGAGUGUGGGGCCGUCUGUGGUACGGUCUGUAGAUUAUGGCAUGUUUCUGCUUUAAUUACGGAGUGUGGGGCCGUCUGUAGAUUAUGGCAUGUUUCUGCUUUAAUUACGGAGUGUGGGGCCGUCUGUAGAUUAUGGCAUGUUUCUGCUUUAAUUACAGAGUGUGGGGCCGUCUGUGGUACGGUCUGUAGAUUAUGGCAUGUUUCUGCUUUAAUUACAGAGUGUGGGGCCGUCUGUGGUACGGUCUGUAGAUUAUGGCAUGUUUCUGCUUUAAUUACGGAGUGUGGGGCCGUCUGUAGAUUAUGGCAUGUUUCUGCUUUAAUUACGGAGUGUGGGGCCGUCUGUGGUACGGUCUGUAGAUUAUGGCAUGUUUCUGCUUUAAUUACAGAGUGUGGGGCCGUCUGUGGUACGGUCUGUAGAUUAUGGCAUGUUUCUGCUUUAAUUACGGAGUGUGGGGCCGUCUGUGGUACGGUCUGUAGAUUAUGGCAUGUUUCUGCUUUAAUUACGGAGUGUGGGGCCGUCUGUAGAUUAUGGCAUGUUUCUGCUUUAAUUACGGAGUGUGGGGCCGUCUGUAGAUUAUGGCAUGUUUCUGCUUUAAUUACAGAGUGUGGGGCCGUCUGUGGUACGGUCUGUAGAUUAUGGCAUGUUUCUGCUUUAAUUACAGAGUGUGGGGCCGUCUGUGGUACGGUCUGUAGAUUAUGGCAUGUUUCUGCUUUAAUUACAGAGUGUGGGGCCGUCUGUAGAUUAUGGCAUGUUUCUGCUUUAAUUAUGGAGUGUGGGGCCGUCUGUAGAUUAUGGCAUGUUUCUGCUUUAAUUACAGAGUGUGGGGCCGUCUGUGGUACGGUCUGUAGAUUAUGGCAUGUUUCUGCUUUAAUUACAGAGUGUGGGGCCGUCUGUGGUACGGUCUGUAGAUUAUGGCAUGUUUCUGCUUUAAUUACAGAGUGUGGGGCCGUCUGUAGAUUAUGGCAUGUUUCUGCUUUAAUUAUGGAGUGUGGGGCCGUCUGUAGAUUAUGGCAUGUUUCUGCUUUAAUUACGGAGUGUGGGGCCGUCUGUGGUACGGUCUGUAGAUUAUGGCAUGUUUCUGCUUUAAUUACAGAGUGUGGGGCCGUCUGUAGAUUAUGGCAUGUUUCUGCUUUAAUUACAGAGUGUGGGGCCGUCUGUAGAUUAUGGCAUGUUUCUGCUUUAAUUACAGAGUGUGGGGCCGUCUGUAGAUUAUGGCAUGUUUCUGCUUUAAUUACGGCACAUUUUGACGUAUUUUAGCUGCCAGUCAGACUACACAAAAGGGAAGAGAAAAAAACUAUAUUUAGGCAUUAAUUCUUGAGUAGUUAAGGGUUAAGGUUUGGCAUGGUGUUAAAACAGAAAAAGUAAAAUAACUAAAUGAGUGCCGAUCACUGGGGUUGAACCCCCAAUCCUCCCAGUUCAUUCCUCUCCUUAACCCAUCCACAACAUAGGCACUCACGUUGCCCCUAGUGGCUUGUAUGCGGAAACAAUCCGGCACACAUUUUAAUACCAGGGGCUCUAUUUUAAUGAUAUGGUAGUCGGUGCCAGGCACACCGGUUUGAGUGUGUCAAGAACUGCAACCCUACUGAGUUUUUCACACUCAACAGUUUCUGGUGUGAACCAAGAAUGGUCCACUACAAAAAUGACAUCCAACUAAUUUGACACAAAUGUGAGCAGCAAUGGAGUCAACAUGGGUCAGCAUUUCUGUGGAGUCCAUGCCGUGACGAAUUUAGGCUGUUCUGAGGGCAAAAGAGGGUGCAAACUCAAUAUUAGGAAGGUAUUCCUAAUGUUUUGUACAGUCGGUGUAAGCCUACUGUAAAAUGUAAAAAUUACUUUCUAAAUGUCCAAAAAAUAAUCACUGGAUAAUUUAAUGGAAACAUGGCUACUGAUACCUUUCAGGGGCAUCACACUUAAUGAGUCCAAACUUUUCACAGAACCUGGACAAAAAUAGUGUUCAACAUAAAUAAAAAGGGGAAUGUCUGACUGUUUGGCUAUUGUGAUAUUUUGAUGAUGCACAUAAGGCUACAUAAGGCUACUUUGUCAGCCUCCGUUGGCAAAAUCAAUGCCAUAAUCAAUUGCUUUACCACUAAGACCAGUCUUAAAUAUCCGUAGUUGCCCCCUGAAAUUCAGCGCAAGCCCGUUGAUGUUAGACAGGUAAAUCGCAGAACCUGGCGUAAGGGCUAGAAAGUGCCAGUGAGAUAGAUUGCAAUUUUGUCAUGUCAAAUAUAACGUGUGUUUGACACUUGCGCCUCAUUACCGCCAGCCGAAAAUAGCUCCCCAGGUGUAAUUGCAAGUAAAUGUGAGGCCCUUGUUCGGAAUGUAAUGUAAUCCUAUCACAGCUGUUCGUAUAAGGAUAUGCAAGGUGUAAAUUACCCCUCCAUAUCCCCUAACUUCUUCCUUAAGCACAUCCAAUACCAACUCUUCGAUUGUGCCACCUUACUGGGACCAGUCUCGAUUGCCUGGGAUUGGCUUUGAGGUAAUGGAAAAACAUCCCAAAAGCAUAAAACAUACAUGCAUUGUGUUAAUGUUCACUGUGGAUGGGAUGUUACAUUAAAUGAUCAGAUGAACUUGUUUGAAUACAAACCAGCAUCAUACUGUUCUGAACAAAUUGUAUAGCAUGUAGUACCACACGGUGUCUUCUAAAAGCAUGUAUUAUUGUGUAUGAAUGAGCUUACAAAGGGUUUUUCUUCACAGAGAGUUAUGUUGUCAAGCUCAACAGGUGAACACGAAGACAUCAAGGCCCUUUUUGAGAAAACUGUGGUGGGGUUUCAAAUACACACCAUUGAGAGAGUACAAAACCCAGCCCUAUGGAAGUUCUACGUGCUUAUUUGCAGAGACAACUUUGACUGGAGAAUAUGUGGAAAAAAUGGAACUUCCUACGGAAAAGGUGCUGGUGGGAGACUACACUGUGGGAAACAACAGAUAUGAGAAACCACCUCCUAAAGAAACCGGAGGAUCCAGCUUCUAUGACAGCUGUGUG
Non-coding RNA from Oncorhynchus mykiss (rainbow trout), 5182 nucleotides. NCBI's taxonomy places the organism in Eukaryota, Metazoa, Chordata, Actinopteri, Salmoniformes, Salmonidae. The record is from RefSeq and is a predicted model, not a curated record.